AUGUUCCAAACUUUUUUCACAAGGGGCCAUGUUAAUAUAGCCUUGCUGAACUACUCUUUAAGUCGGUAUGCACUGAAUAAAAGCUGCACAAAGAUUGGGCAAUGUAGAGUAGAACAGAAUACGCAGAAGUCAUUCAGGACAAGCAACACUACAGCUGCGUACAGAAGCUGCAGAACAACAGUGAGUAACUGGACGUUAGCACGGAAAAGGAAGACUGUAAAUAUGAGAGCCAGAGUGGAGGAAGACAGCUGCUAUGAGAGCUGGGGACACCAGAGAACUACAGGGGUAGGUUGCCGGCAAGAGUGA
RNAcentral lists this long non-coding RNA (306 nucleotides) under Apteryx owenii (little spotted kiwi). Its description in RNAcentral is "lncRNA (ENSAOWG00000011561.1)". Lineage: Eukaryota; Metazoa; Chordata; Aves; Apterygiformes; Apterygidae. The record is from RNAcentral.